GGGCGUGUAGCAUAGUUGGAUAAUGCACUGGCCUCCUAAGCCAGGGAUCGCGGGUUCAAAUCCUGCUGCGCCCG
RNAcentral lists this transfer RNA (74 nucleotides) under Methanobacteriota archaeon. Its description in RNAcentral is "Euryarchaeota archaeon (marine metagenome) tRNA-Arg". It matches the Rfam family "tRNA". Rfam says of the family: Transfer RNA (tRNA) molecules are approximately 80 nucleotides in length. Their secondary structure includes four short double-helical elements and three loops (D, anti-codon, and T loops). RNAcentral also lists the same sequence under 1 other name. Lineage: Archaea; Methanobacteriati; Methanobacteriota. The record is from RNAcentral.